CCGAACGUUUGGUUUUAAUCCGCAUGAUAUCUCUCAGCGUUUCUCUUAAUGAUUCUGAACCCAAAGGUGAUGAAUUUAAUAUAUAUAUGGUUUCGAUAUGCCGUCAAAAACCGUUAUGGCGACGAUUGACAACAACACUUGUCUAUUAUUUUUUCUUGAAGAAAUUUUACAAAAACAACUAUAUUUUAAUCUACAAACAGUAUAUUAUACUAGAACUAAAUAAAUUCAAAGUAUCUGAUUAUAAUGUAAACAAUUGUUCAGUUCUCUUUGCGCUCAUGAUAAGUUCGUUUCGCUAAUUUGAUCAAAGUCAGACAAAGCAUCAGGACGAGUUAUUCGUUACAAGGAAUAUGUCCCCCAGUUUAGAACCACACGAUCGACACGAUAACUGUGGUACUGCUAGUUCGAGAGGUUGUUCUUGCCAAAUAUUUUAGUCUCCAAGAUUUACGAAAUGCACAAACUCACAAGUAUAUAUGUCUCCAAGGGUUAAUAUAAUGUAACCGUUCGUUCACUGCUUUAUAUGGACGAACUCCAAAUCCUUUUCCUCCUGAUCGUAAGUAAGACGAAGUCAAGCAAUCGUUCAAGAUCUUCAAUGGCAACUCACCAGACUUAUAUUAGCACUAGGUUGAAUGCACUUUCUGGCGUUUCUCAAUUUUCUUUCUCAAUACAGAAUUUCCUGUUAGUUUUAAUCACUACACCUUCUUUACCACAAUUUCGUAACCUAGUUCAUGGUGGUUAGUCAACCGACCAUUUGUAAUAUUCAUUUGUACCUUCAUUCACUACCAUUUUAAUUUAUGCACGGUCUAACGACUUAUGCAUCGUCUUUCGAGAUUGUCAUCAUUGAUGGUAUUUCUUGUGGCUUUAAUACAAUGGUUUUAAGUAAUCCUUUAUAUUGUUUGCAUGUCUUUAACAAAUCAUCGAUUAGUCCAAAUAUAUAUCAACUGCAACCAGGAACGGUUCGUAAAGCGUAUACAACCUAACUUUGCCAAGUGAACCACUCACGGUCUUUCGAUGCAAUGUACGUACAUUGUUUCUCAGUUUCUUUUGACAUAUCGUGCAACUGCAACGUAUUCAAACAACCAUGCUGUAUAUUGUUGGUAUUCGACCUUUAUCAUCGACCUGCAUAUCAACUGCAACUAGCUUGUGAAGUCUGAAGAGUGUCAUAAGUCAUUACCAUUAAAAAUUCGUAAAUCAGUCACAUGAUCAGGAAUUUUCAAAUCCAACUGAAUCACAAACAACUUAUAUACGAGAUGGUCAUAAUAAUUUUGUGUGCUUUUUAAGAACAAUGUUUUCAGGUGGAAUCCAUAUAAUCUUCCCGCUAGAAUGCAGUCUUGAAAGCUUCGUCGGACUUCUCCAUGAACUUUUGCCCAUACUGGCAAAGUUAUUACACUAUUUUUUUUUAUCAAAUUUCAAUAAACAAGUUCGGUGUUACUACUUUCCAUCCAACUGACUAGUCUUUUUAAAAACUAAAACAUAUUUUCCACAUGUCGUAGCGAAACAUAGCGGCUUUUUCGUGUAUUCCUGCGUACUGGUGUCAAUUAAAUAAAGUUUUUUUUCUUUUUUCUGGAAAAUAAGUCACUAAAGAAAUUAAAAAUAUGAAUACGUGCGCAGUCUUAGCUACAUGUUAUGUGAUUCAAUUUUUACCCAACUCAGAACGCGUCUUUUGGAUAGGCAGUUAAAACUUCGAACUGGUUUAUUGGAUUAUAUAGACCAAAGUGUUUUUAACUUUUGCCAUGGUCAUUAAUCCAUUGUUAUAAUAAUAAUAAUGCAUGGUGUACAAAAAGCAUCAUUGUCAAUAUUGGCGCUCUUCGCUAAUGUUCUACAUGUUUUACUUUUUACGAUAAUGGUGAGCAAUUUCACAAAGUUCAAUAUAAUUUUUCAUCAAUUUUAGUUAAGAAGAGUGGGAGAAUAUUCACGAUGAAACGCGAAGCGUUGAGGUGAAUAUACUUGCACUAUUGACCGACACUUAUAGGCCGGUGAAUAAUUGGUGGCAUAUACCACAACAAAACAAAGGUCAUAGGCGUAUACGGUGAGGGGGCAGGGGGGAGUUGCUCACCCAAGUUAAAAAUUAAUUCGGGCAAAUUACAAAAGUAAUUCGGGCAAAAAUUGGUAAGAAAUAUGUAAAAGUAACGUUGAAAACCUCCCCCCCCCCCCGUCGACAACAAUUUUGAAAAUCUAAACGGAAAUUUUUUUUAGUAAGUCGGGCACAAUGUGGGAAUAAUCGGGCCAAUUUUCAUUCUGCCCCUCCCCACUGAUUUUUUUCCUACCGUACGCCUAUGACUAAGAUGACAAAAAAACAAGGAAAAUGUUUUUAAUACAACUUGAUAUUUCAGUUCCCGUCUAAUAGUUAUAAACAAGGUUGCAAAUGAAAUAGUAUUUACAUGCAAGCAUUUAGUAAUUUUGUUCAUUAGCAAUAGUUUUAAGAAUACUCAUGCACACGGUUAAACAAAACUUUGUGGUUUUCUUUGCAUUUUGCGAAACGGCAGCUUCGUUUCGUACAAACAUUUGCUCAUCUGUAAGCGGAACGAAACGCGAAGCCAUUUUGUCUUUGUUUGGAGGUGAAUAGUACAAGAAUAUCCGGAGCUGAACAAACAAACAAUUAGAUUGCUUGAAAAGUACUAUCGACCUCCCGAAUAAAUAGCAUGAUUUCAGUUAUAUUUCUCAGUUAUAUUUUUGUGAAGGAACGAAGCAGUCUUGUACAGUGUACGUGAUGUGCAACCACUCCCAUCGGAUUCAAAAGACAAAGAGAUUUUCGCCAUGCUGGAUGAUAUUUGCAUUGCAAACAUGCAAAAUCUUUUGUCAAUGUCAUCCAGUAUGGCGACGGUGACGUAAUUAUAACGUGCACACCUCCCAUACGAAAAGAGUCCUAAUUACAACAGCAAUGACGAUGGUUCAGUUCAAUAUUGCCCACUGUUAAACAGAACAAGUAGUAUUCUCUGCAAUUUCCCUACGAAAUUUUUAUCGCAUGUUAAAUAAUAUGUGAAAUUUCUGAAAUAUAAAAAGAAAAAGCAUAAUUCAUAAAGAAACGUAAUUUUUAGUUUGAUUUAUUUUUUU
Paramuricea clavata is the source of this 3051-nucleotide non-coding RNA. The record is from the annotation of a GenBank genome assembly. Lineage: Eukaryota; Metazoa; Cnidaria; Anthozoa; Malacalcyonacea; Plexauridae.